Molecule: long non-coding RNA, 636 nt
Filed under: Androctonus crassicauda
Lineage: Eukaryota; Metazoa; Arthropoda; Arachnida; Scorpiones; Buthidae
Source: RNAcentral
AUUUAUCAAAUUUAUCAAGAUGAUUGGUGGUUAUGCAUAAUCACCAAUUAAUCACUUUUACUGUAACAGAUACAUUAAGUAGCUACAAAGAUAUCAUACCCUUAGGUUGAUUCUUCCUUGAUUGCAAAUAUUCUGGCAUGCAUUUAUUCAUUCUCAUACAUAUACAAUUACCAGCAUACAUCAUUCUUACAGUCACAAGUAACUAUUUAUUAGCAUCAUAUUCUCUCAACACUUUUCUACAGCUUAUUUCUAUUCAUUUUGUCAUAAUGCUUCUCAUGAUCACAGAAUUACAGACUCCCCUUUUCUCGUAUAGAGAUACUUCACUGCAGUCAGAUGCAUUGAGAAAAAUCUAAUUUAUAUAUAAAUUUUCAUUCUUAAAGCCAUACUGCAUAUCUUAUAUAUCAUCAUUAGUCACAUUCUCUUUUGCAAUCAGUCUUACUAAAUAACCUUAUCACCUAUGGUUAGCAGAUUUAUAUCCCUAUAAUUGUUGCAAUCAUUUCUCUCAUCUUUUCCAUUGUUGAUGGGAACAAUCGCAGUCAUAAUUCAAUUGCUUGAAACUGUAAUCAUAUAUCCAAUGCAGUUUGCAUAGAGCAUUGAAUUCCAAAAUAGAUUUUUCCAUCAUAUUUUAACAUCUUG